This 34-nucleotide ribosomal RNA is filed under the name Hackelia brachytuba. Its description in RNAcentral is "partial 5.8S ribosomal RNA". The record is from RNAcentral. Lineage: Eukaryota; Viridiplantae; Streptophyta; Magnoliopsida; Boraginales; Boraginaceae.
UUAGGCUAAGGGCACGUCUGCCUGGGCGUCACGC